Molecule: ribosomal RNA, 263 nt
Filed under: uncultured bacterium
Lineage: Bacteria
Description: partial 16S ribosomal RNA
Rfam family: Bacterial small subunit ribosomal RNA
Source: RNAcentral
GACGAACGCUGGCGGCGUGCUUAACACAUGCAAGUCGAGCGGUAAGGCCCUUUCGGGGUACGACGAGCGGCGAACGGGUAGGAGUAACAACGUGGGUGGACCUCGCCCUCCAGCUCUGGGAGUAAGACCUCGGGAAACCGGGGUACCGUAAUAACUGGAGUAAUGACUCCAUGACGCAUGUUGUGGGGUGGAAAGACCUUGUGCGGCUGAGGAUGGGCCCGGCGGCCUAUCAGCUUGUUGGUGGGGUGGAUGGCCUACCAAGG